GCCCAGGUGGCGGAAUUGGUAGACGCGCUGGUCUCAAACACCAGUGGGGCAACCCGUGCCGGUUCGAUCCCGGCCCUGGGUACAA
This 85-nucleotide transfer RNA is filed under the name Labilibaculum manganireducens. RNAcentral's name for it is "tRNA-Leu". It matches the Rfam family "tRNA". From Rfam's summary of the family: Transfer RNA (tRNA) molecules are approximately 80 nucleotides in length. Their secondary structure includes four short double-helical elements and three loops (D, anti-codon, and T loops). Lineage: Bacteria; Pseudomonadati; Bacteroidota; Bacteroidia; Marinilabiliales; Marinifilaceae. The record is from RNAcentral. RNAcentral also lists the same sequence under 2 other names.